GACGAACGCUGGCGGCGUGCUUAACACAUGCAAGUCGAACGGAGGAUUUAUUUCGGUAAAUCCUUAGUGGCGAACGGGUGAGUAACGCGUGGGCAAUCUGCCCUUCAGAUGGGGACAACAUCCCGAAAGGGGUGCUAAUACCGAAUACGAACGUUUUCCCGCAUGGGAUUACGAUGAAAGAUGUCAUCUAUUUAUAAGCUAUCGCUGAAGGAUGAGCUUGCGUCUGUUUAGCUAGUUGGUGGGGUAACGGCCUACCAAGGCGAUGAUCAGUAGCCGGUCUGAGAGGAUGAACGGCCACAUUGGGACUGAGACACGGCCCAAACUCCUACGGGAGGCAGCAGUGGGGAAUAUUCCGCAAUGGACGAAAGGCUGACGGAGCAACGCCGCGUGAGUGAUGAAGGUUUUCGGACUGUAAAGCUCUGUUGUUUAGGACGAAAGUGCCUGUUGCGAACAGUUACAGGUAUUGACGGUACUGAACGAGGAAGCCACGGCUAACUACGUGCCAGCCGCCGCCGUAA
Molecule: ribosomal RNA, 518 nt
Filed under: uncultured bacterium
Lineage: Bacteria
Description: partial 16S ribosomal RNA
Rfam family: Bacterial small subunit ribosomal RNA
Source: RNAcentral